GCAGUCGUGGCCGAGCGGUUAAGGCAAUAGACUAGAAAUCUAUUGGGGUCUACCGGCAAAGAUUCGAAUUCUGUCGACUGCC
RNAcentral lists this transfer RNA (82 nucleotides) under Dermacentor andersoni. RNAcentral's name for it is "transfer RNA serine (anticodon AGA)". It matches the Rfam family "tRNA". From Rfam's summary of the family: Transfer RNA (tRNA) molecules are approximately 80 nucleotides in length. Their secondary structure includes four short double-helical elements and three loops (D, anti-codon, and T loops). The record is from RNAcentral. Lineage: Eukaryota; Metazoa; Arthropoda; Arachnida; Ixodida; Ixodidae.